ACGGCUUCAACAGGCGGCGGCACGACCGAUCGGCUCGCCUGAUCGGACCCUCGAGCUGUCGGACUGGGAGUCUCUAUAGUACCAUCCGCCCGGGUGUGUGCCUCCAGAAAUCCGGCACGUGACACCUCCGACGGGGUCUGCUGGGGAGUCUGCCGGGACCUUUCCGGCGGAUGGGAGCCACUUUCCCCGCUGCCCGAAUGAGUACCCGCCGCAGGGUCAGGCACGACUUCUGUCUCCGGCGGGACACUCUCGACCACCGGCACGUCGGGCUGUGACGCCUUUGCAAAGUCAAUGGCGCCCUUCCGCUUCAACAUGUCUAUAUUGGCCCGGGCCCCAGACUUCGCCGCUUCGGUCAAUGUCUUUUUAUACUCCGCCGACAGCUUGAACGCUUCAACGGCGGCGGCCGCAGAGGAACUCUGUUCAUUUUUCAGGCGGUUAACCUCCCCGUCCAGCCGCUGCACCUCAUCCAGUCUGGCGGCAGACUCCCGCUGCACAAUAAUGAGCUUCUUAUCUUUAGCGGCUAUCCGCUCCUGCAGCAGCGCGAUCUCCUGCUCCAACUUGGAGACGCGCUCAUUCCUCUCCAGAUCCCGCCGGAUGGCCG
This 601-nucleotide long non-coding RNA is filed under the name Rosa chinensis. RNAcentral describes it as "sRNA RchiOBHm_Chr5g0060151". Lineage: Eukaryota; Viridiplantae; Streptophyta; Magnoliopsida; Rosales; Rosaceae. The record is from RNAcentral.